UACGUAGGGUGCAAGCGUUGUCCGGAAUUAUUGGGCGUAAAGAGCUCGUAGGCGGUCUGUUGCGUCGGCUGUGAAAACCCGCGGCUUAACUGCGGGCUUGCAGUUGAUACGGGCAGGCUAGAGUUCGGUAGGGGAGACUGGAAUUCCUGGUGUAGCGGUGAAAUGCGCAGAUAUCAGGAGGAACACCGGUGGCGAAGGCGGGUCUCUGGGCCGAUACUGACGCUGAGGAGCGAAAGCGUGGGGAGCGAACAGG
This 253-nucleotide ribosomal RNA is filed under the name uncultured bacterium. RNAcentral describes it as "partial 16S ribosomal RNA". It matches the Rfam family "Bacterial small subunit ribosomal RNA", at positions 524 to 776 of the family's 1533-position model. The record is from RNAcentral.